GCAGUAAAACGCUUUAUGCAUUCUUUCCCAAAUGGAUCAACAGCUCGGGUCACACCAGAGGGAAAGUUAAAAUCAAGAGUUUGAUGGGCAUCAGUUUGACGAGCCCUCAAGCCAGGAUUCAAAACUGUGAGGCGUUCACCCAGACAAGGUGUGCCGUCGCCAAAGUCGUUCGGCUUCCCUGCCAAAAAACUAUGAGGUUACCCAACAACAACAGCAUAAUUAAAAAUCAACAUUUUUUCAGGUCUUAUUGCUGGCGGUGCCAACUUGCUGUCAUGACAGGAGUUACUUGCUGCUCUCAGCUAGCAAAAAAGGGCCCCAAAAAAUGGUCGUCUGUGCAGCUGGGUCCAAUAAUUUAUAUUGAUACAAAAAAAAAAAAAAAACAACAAAAACAACAACCUGAUCAUUUUGACAGUUUUUGCCAAUUGGAUAUUAAAACUUGUAGGACGUUCACCUUGAUAAGGUGUGCGGUGGACCAAGAGGAAGUAGAACAAAAAGAUGACUGUCGUUAGGGUUCCCUGCCAGGACAUAACAAGGUUACGCAACAACAAGAGCAUCAUCCAAGAACGGCGUUUCUCAACUUUCAGUGCUGGUGUUUUCGACAUGGCAGGAGUUACUUGCUGAUCUGGUAUUGCAAGAUUGAUUUGUGUUUUGUCGUGAACUCUUUCAUCCCUUUAGGGCCGUUUGACCCCACACUAGGUCGUCUUCCUUCUUGGUGUUGGGCUAUUUGGUCAGCCAAGUCUGUCAAUUGGAAAACAUGUCAAAUCCAUUCUCCUACUCCAAUCAUCGUACUCUGGAACUACUUUCCUCUACCCCCGCAAGAGUGAAGAGAUGGCCCAGUGUUCAACGACCAGAACCAAAGACCCUCCCCUCAACUACUGGUGGGUCUUUUGAAUCACUCUUGGUUUGAUUUAUCACAUUUCAACUUAUCACCAGUUUGCCUUGGGAGACCCUAUACGGGGCAUAUACAACAGUAGCCCCUUGGAUCAUUCUGACAUUCCAAAGCAUCCACAUCAUUCAGGUAGUGAUUCACUGAUAGUUGAUAAGAAUAAUAAGAAUAAGAAAACCCUUAUUCGUCUCACAAUGGAGAAAUUUCCAAUUUACAGCAGCAAAAGUUAUGGGAAGAGGAAAGUAGAAGAACAAAAAGCAUAGGAGCUGCUGUAAAGGACUCAAUUUUUAUUUUUCAGCCACCCCCUAGCUCAAGUUUCUCGAUGUACAAUAAUCAUCCAUGAGAACGAUUCAAAUAUGAGGUUUUUAUGUGACCCGAGAGGCUCAUUUCCCCCUCAAAUAUUUUGGUAA
Molecule: long non-coding RNA, 1296 nt
Organism: Hippocampus comes (tiger tail seahorse)
Lineage: Eukaryota; Metazoa; Chordata; Actinopteri; Syngnathiformes; Syngnathidae
Exons: 2
Source: RefSeq, a predicted model, not a curated record